Molecule: ribosomal RNA, 266 nt
Filed under: uncultured Staphylococcus sp.
Lineage: Bacteria; Bacillati; Bacillota; Bacilli; Caryophanales; Staphylococcaceae
Description: partial 16S ribosomal RNA
Rfam family: Bacterial small subunit ribosomal RNA
Source: RNAcentral
CGGCGGACGGGUGAGUAACACGUGGGUAACCUACCUAUAAGACUGGGACAACUUCGGGAAACCGGAGCUAAUACCGGAUAAUAUGUUGAACCGCAUGGUUCAAUAGUGAAAGAUGGUUUUGCUAUCACUUAUAGAUGGACCCGCGCCGUAUUAGCUAGUUGGUGAGGUAACGGCUUACCAAGGCAACGAUACGUAGCCGACCUGAGAGGGUGAUCGGCCACACUGGAACUGAGACACGGUCCAGACUCCUACGGGAGGCAGCAGCU